CGCGUAGGCGGAAAUGCAAGUCUGGUGUGAAAGACCGCAGCUCAACUGCGGGAGCGCGCUGGAAUCUGCAUAUCUUGAGUUCCGGAGGGGGAGUUGGAAUUCCUGGUGUAGGGGUGAAAUCUGUUGAUAUCAGGAAGAACACCGGUGGCGAAGGCGAACUCCUGGACGGAAACUGACGCUGAGGCGCGAAAGCGUGGGGAGCGAACA
RNAcentral lists this ribosomal RNA (207 nucleotides) under uncultured bacterium. RNAcentral's name for it is "partial 16S ribosomal RNA". It matches the Rfam family "Bacterial small subunit ribosomal RNA", at positions 568 to 774 of the family's 1533-position model. The record is from RNAcentral.